This 296-nucleotide ribosomal RNA is filed under the name uncultured bacterium. Its description in RNAcentral is "partial 16S rRNA". It matches the Rfam family "Bacterial small subunit ribosomal RNA", at positions 8 to 334 of the family's 1533-position model. The record is from RNAcentral.
AGAGUUUGAUUAUGGCUCAGAACGAACGCUGGCGGCAGGCUUAACACAUGCAAGUCGAGCGCCCCGCAAGGGGAGCGGCAGACGGGUGAGUAACGCGUGGGAAUCUACCCAUCUCUACGGAAUAACGCAUGGAAACGUGUGCUAAUACCGUAUACGUCCUUCGGGAGAAAGAUUUAUCGGAGAUGGAUGAGCCCGCGUUGGAUUAGCUAGUUGGUGGGGUAAAGGCCUACCAAGGCGACGAUCCAUAGCUGGUCUGAGAGGAUGAUCAGCCACACUGGGACUGAGACACGGCCCAG